RNAcentral lists this ribosomal RNA (432 nucleotides) under uncultured bacterium. RNAcentral describes it as "partial 16S ribosomal RNA". It matches the Rfam family "Bacterial small subunit ribosomal RNA", at positions 29 to 506 of the family's 1533-position model. The record is from RNAcentral.
AACGAACGCUGGCGGCAUGCCUAACACAUGCAAGUCGAACUAGACCUUCGGGUCUAGUAGCGCACGGGUGCGUAACGCGUGGGAACCUGCCCUUAGGUUCGGAAUAACUCCCCGAAAGGGGUGCUAAUACCGGAUAAUGUCUUCGGACCAAAGAUUUAUCGCCUUUGGAUGGGCCCGCGUUGGAUUAGCUAGUUGGUAGGGUAAAAGCCUACCAAGGCGACGAUCCAUAGCUGGUCUGAGAGGAUGAUCAGCCACACUGGGACUGAGACACGGCCCAGACUCCUACGGGAGGCAGCAGUGGGGAAUAUUGGACAAUGGGCGAAAGCCUGAUCCAGCAAUGCCGCGUGAGUGAUGAAGGCCUUAGGGUUGUAAAGCUCUUUUACCCGGGAUGACAAUGACAGUACCGGGAGAAUAAGCUCCGGCUAACUCCGU